This 448-nucleotide ribosomal RNA is filed under the name uncultured bacterium. RNAcentral describes it as "bacterial SSU rRNA". It matches the Rfam family "Bacterial small subunit ribosomal RNA", at positions 329 to 794 of the family's 1533-position model. The record is from RNAcentral.
UUCCAGACUCCUACGGGAGGCAGCAGUGGGGAAUAUUGCACAAUGGGGGGAACCCUGAUGCAGCGACGCCGCGUGAAGGAAGAAGUAUCUCGGUAUGUAAACUUCUAUCAGCAGGGAAGAAAAUGACGGUACCUGACUAAGAAGCCCCGGCUAACUACGUGCCAGCAGCCGCGGUAAUACGUAGGGGGCAAGCGUUAUCCGGAUUUACUGGGUGUAAAGGGAGCGUAGACGGUAUGGCAAGUCUGAUGUGAAAACCCGGGGCUCAACCCCGGGACUGCAUUGGAAACUGUCGGACUAGAGUGUCGGAGAGGCAAGUGGAAUUCCUAGUGUAGCGGUGAAAUGCGUAGAUAUUAGGAGGAACACCAGUGGCGAAGGCGGCUUGCUGAACGAUGACUGACGUUGAGGCUCGAAAGCGUGGGGAGCAAACAGGAUUAGAUACCCUGGUAAA